Molecule: ribosomal RNA, 245 nt
Filed under: uncultured bacterium
Lineage: Bacteria
Description: partial 16S ribosomal RNA
Rfam family: Bacterial small subunit ribosomal RNA
Source: RNAcentral
UACGUAGGGAGCAAGCGUUAUCCGGAAUCACUGGGCGUAAAGAGCUCGUAGGCGGUCUGGUAAGUCGCAUGUUAAAGACCCUGGCUUAACCGGGGGAAUGCAAGCGAUACUGCCGGACUGGAGAGCGGGAGAGGGAAACGGAAUUCCUGGUGUAGCGGUGAAAUGCAUAGAUAUCAGGAAGAACACCAGUGGCGAAGGCGGUUUCCUGGACCGUUUCUGACGCUGAGGAGCGAAAGCCAGGGGAG